RNAcentral lists this ribosomal RNA (312 nucleotides) under uncultured Ruminococcus sp. Its description in RNAcentral is "partial 16S ribosomal RNA". The record is from RNAcentral. Lineage: Bacteria; Bacillati; Bacillota; Clostridia; Eubacteriales; Oscillospiraceae.
GGAGUCUGGGCCGUGUCUCAGUCCCAAUGUGGCCGGUCGCCCUCUCAGGCCGGCUAUAGAUCGUCGCUUUGGUGGGCCGUUACCCCGCCAACUGGCUAAUCUAACGCGGGUCCAUCUCAUACCGCCGGAGCUUUUCACACUGUACCAUGCGGUACUGUGCGCUUAUGCGGUAUUAGCAGUCAUUUCUGACUGUUAUCCCCCUGUAUGAGGCAGGUUACCCACGCGUUACUCACCCGUCCGCCACUCGCUCAUUCCCCGAAGGGAACUCGCUCGUUCGACUUGCAUGUGUUAAGCACGCCGCCAGCGUUCAUC